AGACAUGCUGUGCAACUUAACAUCACUGCCACCCAGAAGCUCUUACGGCUAGUCAGAUGCCAAAGCUGGAAGCCUUUAUACAUAUCUCUACUGCCUUUUCAAAUGGUAACCUGAAGCACAUCGAUGAAGUUGUUUAUCCGUGCCCUGUGGAGCCAAAAACUCUGACUACUUUUUACGUGGUUAGACGACGCUGUUAUUGACGAGAUCACACCCAAGCUGAUCAGAGAUCCGCCCAAUUCUUGCACCUACAUCAAGGCCUUGGGAGAAAUGGUGGUGCAGCAGGAGAGCAGAAACCUAACCAUCGCCAUCAUAAGGCCCUCCAUUGUGGGAGCAACGUGGCAUGAGCCUUUCCCAGGUUGGGUUGAAAAUCUAAAUGGACCUAGCAGACUUAUUA
This 394-nucleotide long non-coding RNA is filed under the name Homo sapiens (human). Its description in RNAcentral is "non-protein coding lnc-OR11H12-4:1". The record is from RNAcentral. Lineage: Eukaryota; Metazoa; Chordata; Mammalia; Primates; Hominidae.